AUACUUAUGUGGCAGGGAAGAUACCUGGUCACAAGGGUGGUUUUCCCAGGGUGAGGCUUAUCCAUUGCAUUCUGGAUGUGCUAACCCCUAUGAUUUCCCCAAAUGUGAGAAACUGCAUAAUUUGGAAUAAUGGGACUAUGUUUGUGAUUUCCCCUA
Molecule: small nuclear RNA, 156 nt
Organism: Suncus etruscus (white-toothed pygmy shrew)
Lineage: Eukaryota; Metazoa; Chordata; Mammalia; Eulipotyphla; Soricidae
Product: U1 spliceosomal RNA
Exons: 1
Source: RefSeq, a predicted model, not a curated record